GGAAACCAAAUAUUUUCCCUAAACUUUUGGUUUUAGAAAACAUUAACUAUGUAUAACCCCAUUUGAUUUCGCUGGUUGUUUAAAUAUAAGCAAGUGAUUUUUAUCUUUAUCAUUUUUUUUAAAAUGCGGUGUAGAUAAAUGCUCAUGAAGGCAUCACUUAAGAAUGGCGUUCCUCUGAUGGAAGAGGCCUCAAGAAUGUAUUUGCAAUAAUCAGAUGCCUGGAUGCAAGUUCUAUCAAGUGCAAGAUAUUUGGCAUAAAAAUCUCCCAUUUAAAAAAUGACAAAUUCCCAGGAACAUAAUAUAAAUAGGAACACCAGACUGAGGGGGGAAAAACGGGAUUUGAACUUGCAGCUCCUGAUUGGUGGUAGUUGACUGAUUCCAUCCAUGAUCAUUUAACAACUUGCUGUAAUGUAUCGUUUCUAGAAAAAUCCUAAGAGUAAGAAAAUGGCUAGAAUGGUAUAACCCAUCUCAUUGCAGAUGACAUUGACCUUAUCUUACCUCAAACAAUUUAAUCCAAUAAUUUAUUAGUUUCAAAUAACAUAAGAAUUUUAUGGCACAUGAAGAUAUAUUUCAACUAGUAUUUAAAGUAACAACAUCUUAUAAAAACAGCAAAAUUUCUCAUAAGCCCCUAAAAUUGCACUGUAUGUAGGAUGGAAAGAUAUACACACCUUAGAAUCCCUCUGAUGUGUAGAUUUUCUAAAACAUCUUCAGUUGGUUUCCCAUAACUAGUUUAUAGAAAUAAUAGAAUGCAAAAAUUUGCCUAGUGUGGUCCUUACACUUACUCUACCUCCAAAUGAGAGAGGCCUGCCUUGCUUGCUUAUGCAAAGAAUGUCAGCAGCACUACACCAAUAAAUUACAAGCCUAAAUGUAUUUUAAAAAAAAGAGCAGAAUCUUCUCCUAUAUUCUGCCUUUUUUGGUCUCAGACUCAGCCACACUUCAAUCAGAUCUAUGUAAUUCAGUGGACAAUUGUCCAUUUUUAAUUUAAGGCCCCAGGAAUGGGGUGGAAUGUUGGCAAUCCUUUAUUUGACAGACCUAACCAGUGCAUCUUCACCUACUUAUUCCUUGGUUAAACCUGUAACUUCUGCUAUAAAGUGAGUAGGUCAUUUAGAUGUUAAAUUUUGAUUUAAAAGAAUGGAGAAUCCACCAUACCCCAAGACAGAUUUUCAAUGACUACCUUAGCUUCCAAACAUUAAUCUCAAAUUUGUCAGCUAUAGUAGAGUUUGAGAAACUACCUAGAUAUUUUUUUCUUGUAUUUGCAAAAAGGAUGUAUACCUGUAAUAAAAUGUUAAAAGAC
Pelodiscus sinensis (Chinese soft-shelled turtle) is the source of this 1294-nucleotide non-coding RNA. Lineage: Eukaryota; Metazoa; Chordata; Testudines; Trionychidae. The record is from RefSeq and is a predicted model, not a curated record.